This is a long non-coding RNA of Trichomycterus rosablanca, 869 nucleotides long. RefSeq lists it as uncharacterized. The transcript has 5 exons. NCBI's taxonomy places the organism in Eukaryota, Metazoa, Chordata, Actinopteri, Siluriformes, Trichomycteridae. The record is from RefSeq and is a predicted model, not a curated record.
CGCUGCAACGGUGUGGAGCCUGGGCGUCCUUUUGUUUGUUCUAGUGUGUGGAGAGCUGCCAUUCUGGAAUGAGAGGGAGAUCGCUGCUGGACACCUGAUCUUCAAAGCUGGUGUGUCUAUGGCCUGCCGUCAUCUGAUAAGACGCUGCCUGGCCAAGGAUCCGAAUAAGCGACCCAGCCUCGAGAUGAUCCUGGAGCACAACUGGUUUUCAGAGAUCCUUAGGAACUAAGUCCAGGCACCUGUAUGGGUUUGUAGCAGACAAAUCAUGGGUGAGCAUAUUGGAGACUAAGCAAUGACUAAAUGUGUGUGAACAAAACCGUCCACUGUUUGCUUUCAUGUAAUGUCAAAGUAAUCUGAGAGCAUGAACACCAGAAAACACAACAGGAGUGAUUUGGAGAUCAGAAACAUUUUGUGGAUCAGCUUGACGAGUCAGUCGACUGAAUAAUACUGAAGUUUUUCAAGCUGCUUUUCAUCCGUUUCCCCCCUUCGAUAAUUAUUACCUUCACAUCCCCUUAACACAUGAUGGAAAUCAAUCUCACAUUAUGUUUUCACCACCACAGCACAGGUCUGCUACAAGAACACAUCCAGAGCUUUUUAGCUGAGGUUCAGAUCAUCUCCGUUCCUCAGCACCGUGUACAAACCACGCCAGGUCAGAAAGAAAGCCCCAUCAAUGAACAAGUCUAACCUACUGGAAGAUGCAACCAGAUCAGAUUUGGGCAUAAGCAUCUGGCAGAAGAUGACACGUCUUUGAGUCACCACAAUAAUCUACGAUCAACGACCACGUCUGUCGUCCUGAAAGCACUUUGACCUUCUCUGUGGUGGUGUAUGAGACAAGAGAGGAAACAAAACCAAUAAAAUAUUGAAUAAAA